AACUGUGAAAGGCAAGUUAAGAUUUGCUCAUAAACUGAAUGUUGGGAUGAAAAAGUGGAUGACACCAAGAUUUUCAGCUUGAAUGAAACUAUUGAAGGCUAGGAGUUGAUAUUUAUUAAGAUGGGUGCGCUAGUAAAAGGAUUUGAGGGGAAAGAUUAGGGGUUUUGAACUUGUAAAAAUUGAGAUGCUGUAGACACACAGACACAUCCAAGAAGAAAAGUCAAAUAGAUAGUUGAAAUCCAGUGUUCCCAGGGUAUGUGGGCUAAAUAUAUUUUGGGCUUCUAUCAGCAUAUAGAUACUAGACUAACUGAGAUCAGGAGUCACUGCAGAUAGAGCAGGGGUCCAGAAUUGAACAUUGGGACAUUCCAAAUUUAGAGGUUGGAAGAAUGAGGAAGGACCAGUGGACAUGAAGAGCAGCAAGGCAGAAGUGAGAUACUGAAAGAUGGGAAGUUCAUAAGGAAGAAAGUGAGCAAUUCAUCAAAUUCUAACAUGGGAUUGAAAAUUGAUCACAGGAAGUGGUUGCAUGAGGCUGGAGUAAAGGGAGUUGCGGACAAGGCAGCAUGGUGACCAGCAGAGUGAGGAAAGGAGAUGAAAUAGAGAAAUAAAAUUUCUCUUGGACUUUCACACUGGAAAAUGACAAGCCAUUCUGUGGAUCAAUAAUGUACUUGGUGCUCCCAUGAAGCUGGGAGCCGAGGCAGAGGCUCAUGAGUUUGAGGCUCUCAACGAGCUCCCCAGCACUGCGAGAGGCCAGCUGCAUGGAGUUGCUGGGGCCGGCACAGCGGCGUGUGGUACCCGAUGUAUUGGUGGGGUUGCCACCCGAGCCGCUGGAGGGACUGCCCCCACCAGCAUUGUUCUCACUGGGGCUGGCCUUGUCCACCCCUCCACUGGCAUUGCUUGGCUUGCUCUGGCCCCCGCCAUCCCCCUCACUGCCAGGGGGCCCCUCGCUGCUAUCCCGUCGGUGCCAGGAGUAGGUGAACCCGCUAUCUUUAUCGAGCCGCCGCCGGCUUUCAGAAUCAUCAUCACUGGUCUCCGAACUACUGCAGCUGGAGCCCCGGCCCUGACUUUUCCUCCGGUGGUAGCGUUUGUGAACUGUACCUGGAGAAGCUAUAUUCAUCUUUAACCUGCUCAACUUGGGAGGCAGAUUCUCAUCCAUGUCAAACUCAUCGUCAGAUUCCCCUUCCUCAAAGAUCUGGUUGAGGACGGGCGCACUCUUCCUGGAUGUCAGGCGGUUGGUUACAGAUGGCUUCCGGCGCAAAACCACUUGUGUUGAGAGGGACAUGGGUUUCUUGUCCUCCUCAUCUUCCUCUUCAUCUUCUUCCACCCUGAACAGACACUUCCGCCCACUGGCUGUGGGUUUUAAGCUUGCGGGUGGCACCGUAGAGAGUGCUGGUCCAGCCAACUCAGGGAGGUCAUCUUUCUUAGCUGAGUCACACAGGCCUUUGCUCCUGUGGCCAUUGAGGACACUGUCAGCAGCCCGAGCAGGAGACUGAGGGACAGUCGCGUGGGACAAAGGAGUGGCCGUGAGGUCAUCCUCAAGGUCCUGGGGUACAUCAAUUUUGGUUGGCCAUGACUGCCUAUGUAACAGAUAGAUUGGGGGGAAAAAAGCCAUAUAAUCAUUAUGCAGAUGAUAGUAAAGUACAUCACAAUGAACUUACUGGGACAAAAUCUACAGACUUAAAGAAAAAAGCAGCAGCCUUGCAAACCCAUUCAACAUCCUGUAAACAUCAGCAAGGCCACCAGAAGGGCAAAUGUGGUUUUGAAACAUGGUUCAGUUUGUGGCUUAUUGGCCAAGUGAAAACUUCAUCACAGGUGUCAGAAAAGAAAAUAGGGCAAAGAGCUACUCCAUCUUUUCUAUACAAAAGCUUUAUACUAAACAUUUUUUAGAAGCCCAUGGAGGUUAUUGGCAAAGCAAAACCUGAACACCACGUCUUGUUUCUUUGGUUCUUAGAUCACAUAAAGGUAUAUUACUACAAAUAAAAUUCACCUGAAA
Molecule: long non-coding RNA, 1990 nt
Organism: Homo sapiens (human)
Lineage: Eukaryota; Metazoa; Chordata; Mammalia; Primates; Hominidae
Gene: SNRK-AS1
Product: SNRK antisense RNA 1
Source: Ensembl